GGAGGUGCUGGGGUUGUCGCUGACUUUUGAAAGGGUCGUGCACGCCUCGGUGCUCUCACACAUAAUCCAUCUCACCCCUUUUGUGCACCACCGCGUGGGGACCCCUUUUGGCUAGUCCUGAGGGGGGUUUUCACGUUUUUAUACAGACACCCCUUUUAAUGCAAUGUGUAGAAUGUCUUACUUUUUGCGAUCAUACGCAAUCAAUACAACUUUCAACAACGGAUCUCUUGGCUCUCGCAUCGAUGAAGAACGCAGCGAAAUGCGAUACGUAAUGUGAAUUGCAGAAUUCAGUGAAUCAUCGAAUCUUUGAACGCACCUUGCGCCCUUUGGCAUUCCGAGGGGCACACCCGUUUGAGUGUCGUGACAUUCUCAAAACCUUCUCGGUUUUCUUGACUGGGAAGGCUUUGGACUUUGGAGGCUUUUGCUGRCUUUCCUUUGUUGGAGCCAGCUCCUCUGAAAUGGAUUAGUAGGGUCUGCUUUGCCGAUCCUUGACGUGAUAAGAUGCUUUCUACGUCUCGGGUUCUGCACUCCUGCUUCUAACCGUCUCACAGAAGACAAACGGUCAAAGUGAUUGCCACUUUGACCCACGAACCUGACCUCA
Molecule: ribosomal RNA, 601 nt
Filed under: Russula grata
Lineage: Eukaryota; Fungi; Basidiomycota; Agaricomycetes; Russulales; Russulaceae
Description: eukaryotic LSU rRNA
Source: RNAcentral